CUUGCUGCACUGUAAACCUAGCGGCGGACGGGUGAGUAACGCGUGGGCAACCUGCCUUACACAGGGGGAUAACACUGGGAAACUAGUGCUAAUACCGCAUAACAUCAUUUUAUGGCAUCAUGAGAUGAUCAAAGGAGCAAUCCGGUGUAAGAUGGGCCCGCGUCCGAUUAGCUAGUUGGUGGUGUAAAGGGCCACCAAGGCGACGAUGGGUAGCCGGCCUGAGAGGGUGGGCGGCCACACUGGAACUGAGACACGGUCCAGACUCC
Molecule: ribosomal RNA, 266 nt
Filed under: uncultured Eubacteriales bacterium
Lineage: Bacteria; Bacillati; Bacillota; Clostridia; Eubacteriales
Description: uncultured Clostridiales bacterium partial 16S ribosomal RNA
Rfam family: Bacterial small subunit ribosomal RNA
Source: RNAcentral